RNAcentral lists this unclassified non-coding RNA (405 nucleotides) under soil metagenome. RNAcentral describes it as "partial contains 5.8S ribosomal RNA, internal transcribed spacer 2, and large subunit ribosomal RNA". The stretch from base 1 to 121 matches the Rfam family "5.8S ribosomal RNA", at positions 35 to 154 of the family's 154-position model. The record is from RNAcentral.
GAUGAAGAACGCAGCGAAAUGCGAUAAGUAAUGUGAAUUGCAGAAUUCAGUGAAUCAUCGAAUCUUUGAACGCACCUUGCGCCCUUUGGCCAUUCCGAAGGGCAUGCCUGUUUGAGUAUCAUGAACACCUCAACUCUUUAUGGUUUUCCAUGAUGAGCUUGGACUCUGGGGGUUUUGCUGGCUCACAGUCGGCUCCUCUGAAAUGAAUCAGCUUACCAGUGUUUGGUGGGUAUCAUAGGUGUGAUAACUAUCUACGCUUGUGGUUUUCCACCAGGGUAACCUUCAGCAGUGGAGGUUCACUGGAGCUUACAAAUGUCUCUCCUCCGUGAGGACAGCCCUUUGAAUGUUUGAUCUCAAAUCAGGUAGGACUACCCGCUGAACUUAAGCAUAUCAAUAAGCGGAGGA